RNAcentral lists this ribosomal RNA (253 nucleotides) under uncultured bacterium. RNAcentral describes it as "partial 16S ribosomal RNA". It matches the Rfam family "Bacterial small subunit ribosomal RNA", at positions 524 to 776 of the family's 1533-position model. The record is from RNAcentral.
UACGUAAGUGGCGAGCGUUAUCCGGAAUCACUGGGCGUAAAGCGCGCGUAGGCGGACCUGCAAGUCGGGGGUGAAAGCCCGAGGCUCAACCUCGGAACUGCCUUCGAUACUGCGGGUCUCGAGUCCGGGAGAGGUGAGUGGAAUUCCUAGUGUAGAGGUGAAAUUCGUAGAUAUUAGGAAGAACACCAGUGGCGAAGGCGGCUCACUGGCCCGGUACUGACGCUGAGGCGCGAAAGCGUGGGGAGCAAACAGG